AUCAAGAUCAGACUCUGCCCUCCGUGUUCACAGCGGACCUUGAUUUAAUGUCAUACAAUUAAGGCACGCGGUGAAUGCCAAGAGCGGAGCCUACGG
RNAcentral lists this microRNA precursor (96 nucleotides) under Rhinolophus ferrumequinum (greater horseshoe bat). Its description in RNAcentral is "microRNA 124-2 (ENSRFEG00010005846.1)". The stretch from base 16 to 86 matches the Rfam family "mir-124 microRNA precursor family". From Rfam's summary of the family: The mature ~21nt miRNAs are processed from hairpin precursor sequences represented here, in this case originating from the 3' arm. The bounds of the precursors are predicted based on conservation and base pairing and are not generally known. The record is from RNAcentral. Lineage: Eukaryota; Metazoa; Chordata; Mammalia; Chiroptera; Rhinolophidae.